This 253-nucleotide ribosomal RNA is filed under the name uncultured bacterium. Its description in RNAcentral is "partial 16S ribosomal RNA". It matches the Rfam family "Bacterial small subunit ribosomal RNA", at positions 524 to 776 of the family's 1533-position model. The record is from RNAcentral.
UACGAAGGGGGCAAGCGUUAUCCGGAUUUACUGGGUGUAAAGGGAGCGUAGACGGCAUGGCAAGUCAGAUGUGAAAGCCCGGGGCUCAACCCCGGGACUGCAUUUGAAACUGUCAGGCUGGAGUGCAGGAGAGGUAAGCGGAAUUCCUAGUGUAGCGGUGAAAUGCGUAGAUAUUAGGAGGAACACCAGUGGCGAAGGCGGCUUACUGGACUGUAACUGACGUUGAGGCUCGAAAGCGUGGGGAGCAAACAGG